This 385-nucleotide ribosomal RNA is filed under the name uncultured soil bacterium. Its description in RNAcentral is "bacterial SSU rRNA". It matches the Rfam family "Bacterial small subunit ribosomal RNA", at positions 26 to 392 of the family's 1533-position model. The record is from RNAcentral.
AGAUUGAACGCUGGCGGAAUGCCUUACACAUGCAAGUCGAACGGCAGCACGGGAGCAAUCCUGGUGGCGAGUGGCGAACGGGUGAGUAAUACAUCGGAACGUGCCCAAUCGUGGGGGAUAACGUAGCGAAAGCUACGCUAAUACCGCAUACGAUCUACGGAUGAAAGCGAGGGGAUCGCAAGACCUUGCGCGAAUGGAGCGGCCGAUGGCAGAUUAGGUAGUUGGUGGGGUAAAGGCUCACCAAGCCUUCGAUCUGUAGCUGGUCUGAGAGGACGACCAGCCACACUGGGACUGAGACCGCGGCCCAGACUCCGUACGGGAGCAGCGAGUGGGUAAUUUUGGACAAGUGGGCGACAACGCCGUGACUCCGAGCCUAACUUCCGGC